UACGAAGGGGGCUAGCGUUGCUCGGAAUCACUGGGCGUAAAGCGCACGUAGGCGGAUUGCUAAGUCAGGGGUGAAAUCCUGGAGCUCAACUCCAGAACUGCCUUUGAUACUGAGGAUCUUGAGUUCGGGAGAGGUGAGUGGAACUGCGAGUGUAGAGGUGAAAUUCGUAGAUAUUCGCAAGAACACCAGUGGCGAAGGCGGCUCGCUGGGACGGUACUGACGCUGAGACGCGAAAGCGUGGGGAGCAAACAGG
This 253-nucleotide ribosomal RNA is filed under the name uncultured bacterium. Its description in RNAcentral is "partial 16S ribosomal RNA". It matches the Rfam family "Bacterial small subunit ribosomal RNA", at positions 524 to 776 of the family's 1533-position model. The record is from RNAcentral.